This 492-nucleotide ribosomal RNA is filed under the name uncultured bacterium. RNAcentral describes it as "partial 16S ribosomal RNA". It matches the Rfam family "Bacterial small subunit ribosomal RNA", at positions 28 to 507 of the family's 1533-position model. The record is from RNAcentral.
GGUGAACGCUGGCGGUAGGCCUAACACAUGCAAGUCGAACGGCAGCACAGUAAGAGCUUGCUCUUACGGGUGGCGAGUGGCGGACGGGUGAGGAAUACAUCGGAAUCUACUUUUUCGUGGGGGAUAACGUAGGGAAACUUACGCUAAUACCGCAUACGACCUACGGGUGAAAGCAGGGGAUCUUCGGACCUUGCGCGAUUGAAUGAGCCGAUGUCGGAUUAGCUAGUUGGCGGGGUAAAGGCCCACCAAGGCGACGAUCCGUAGCUGGUCUGAGAGGAUGAUCAGCCACACUGGAACUGAGACACGGUCCAGACUCCUACGGGAGGCAGCAGUGGGGAAUAUUGGACAAUGGGCGCAAGCCUGAUCCAGCCAUACUGCGUGGGUGAAGAAGGCCUUCGGGUUGUAAAGCCCUUUUGUUGGGAAAGAAAAGCAGCAGGUUAAUACCCCGCUGUCCUGACGGUACCCAAAGAAUAAGCACCGGCUAACUUCGUG